RNAcentral lists this ribosomal RNA (202 nucleotides) under uncultured bacterium. RNAcentral's name for it is "partial 16S ribosomal RNA". It matches the Rfam family "Bacterial small subunit ribosomal RNA", at positions 1299 to 1500 of the family's 1533-position model. The record is from RNAcentral.
UGCAGGCUGCAACUCGCCUGCAUGAAGCUGGAAUUGCUAGUAAUCGCGGAUCAGCAAGCCGCGGUGAAUACGUUCCCGGGCCUUGUACACACCGCCCGUCACACCAUGAGAGUCGGGAACACCCGAAGUCCGUAGUCUAACCGCAAGGGGGGCGCGGCCGAAGGUGGGUCCGGUAAUUGGGGUGAAGUCGUAACAAGGUAUC